RNAcentral lists this ribosomal RNA (441 nucleotides) under uncultured prokaryote. RNAcentral describes it as "bacterial SSU rRNA". It matches the Rfam family "Bacterial small subunit ribosomal RNA", at positions 355 to 794 of the family's 1533-position model. The record is from RNAcentral.
UGAGGAAUCUUGGGCAAUGGGGGGAAACCCUGACCCAGCCACGCCGCGUGGAGGAAGACACCCUUACGGGGCGUACACUCCUUUUGUGCGAGAAGAAGGUCCCGUUCGUCGGGAUUUGACGGUACCGCACGAAUAAGCACCGGCUAACUCCGUGACAGCAGCCGGGGUAAUACGGAGGGUGCAAGCGUUGUCCGGAAUGAUUGGGUGUAAAGGGUGUGUAGGCGGACUUGUAAGUCAGAGGUGAAAGCCCGCGGCUUAACCGCGGAAUUGCCCCUGAUACUGCAAGUCUUGAGUCCUGGAGAGGUCGCUGGAAUUCGUGGUGUAGCGGUGAAAUGCGUAGAUAUCACGAGGAACACCAGAGGUGUAGACGGGUGACUGGACAGGAACUGACGCUGAGGCACGAAAGCGUGGGGAGCAAACAGGAUUAGAUACCCCCGUAGU